UUACUGUGACAGAGAAUGAAUGAAAUCUGUCAAUAUUCAUUUCCGGAGCCAUCCACAGUACUCUCUGCCUAGUUUUACUUGUCAUACUUCAAAAGGAACAAAGACAGUAUGGAACAUAUUCAUAACAAAGCAACCUGAAUGCUGAAACCAUGUGAUAUGAGAAGUGAUUGCUGAAGGAGAUACAGCAAUGGGUGUCAUCGCGAUGAAUGGUUUCUUGUAAAGUUAAUAAAUAAUGACUAAGGUGUGAUAAGAGAGCCUACCAACACUAAGAAU
Lontra canadensis (Northern American river otter) is the source of this 273-nucleotide long non-coding RNA. RefSeq lists it as uncharacterized. NCBI's taxonomy places the organism in Eukaryota, Metazoa, Chordata, Mammalia, Carnivora, Mustelidae. The transcript is spliced from 3 exons. The record is from RefSeq and is a predicted model, not a curated record.